AGAACUUGGCAGAGAUGCCUUGGUGCCUUCGGGAACUCUGAGACAGGUGCUGCAUGGCUGUCGUCAGCUCGUGUUGUGAAAUGUUGGGUUAAGUCCCGCAACGAGCGCAACCCUUAUCCUUUGUUGCCAGCGGGUCAUGCCGGGAACUCAAAGGAGACUGCCAGUGAUAAACUGGAGGAAGGUGGGGAUGACGUCAAGUCAUCAUGGCCCUUACGAGUAGGGCUACACACGUGCUACAAUGGCGCAUACAAAGAGAAGCGACCUCGCGAGAGCAAGCGGACCUCAUAAAGUGCGUCGUAGUCCGGAUUGGAGUCUGCAACUCGACUCCAUGAAGUCGGAAUCGCUAGUAAUCGUAGAUCAGAAUGCUACGGUGAAUACGUUCCCGGGCCUUGUACACACCGCCCGUCACACCAUGGGAGUGGGUUGCAAAAGAAGUAGGUAGCUUAACCUUCGGGAGGGCGCUUACCACUUUGUGAUUCAUGACUGGGGUGAAGUCGUAACAAGGUAGGCGUACGUGU
RNAcentral lists this ribosomal RNA (518 nucleotides) under uncultured bacterium. RNAcentral's name for it is "bacterial SSU rRNA". It matches the Rfam family "Bacterial small subunit ribosomal RNA", at positions 992 to 1509 of the family's 1533-position model. The record is from RNAcentral.